This 1290-nucleotide long non-coding RNA is filed under the name Phaseolus vulgaris (common bean). Its description in RNAcentral is "long non-coding RNA (PVUL_LNC002573)". The record is from RNAcentral. Lineage: Eukaryota; Viridiplantae; Streptophyta; Magnoliopsida; Fabales; Fabaceae.
GGGUGUUUCUUCCUGCACCCCUACAUUUUUCUUCCUGCACCCCACAGUCUUGUGCAAAGACAAAAUUGCCCUUUAAAAUUUUUGAAAUUACAACAUUACCCUUGAUGUUAUAAAACCCUAAAAACUUAAAAUGAUGCUCAUUUGUGCGUGGUGUCUGGCCGGCUUCUUCAACAGCAGAGGUCUUCUUCAGUGGCAAUCUCUUGCAAUAGCUUCUUCUUCCAAAUCUCAUCCAUCUCACAUUCAUAAAGGUACAUUCAUGUGUUCCGGACUUUGGUAUCCGUUUUUUUCAUGGAUUGUUGUUUCCGUAAAUGUUAUUUCACAUUCCAAAUCACAGAAUCCGGUAAGUUUUCGAAUUUGGGGAUCCGGUAGUUUACCGGAUUUGUGGAUCCGUUAGUUUCCCGGAUGUAAGGAUCCGGUAGUAUUCUGGAUUUAGGAAUCCGGUAGUGUUCCGGAUUUAGGAAUCCGGUAGUAUUUCGGAUUUAGGUGAAGUUUAAGUAGAGUCACACCAAAGAAAAGAAGAAGCUGCUGCUGCAGGUUUUUCUGUUGGUUGAUAAGCAUAUUGCUGAUUUUGAUUGUGGCCAUUGCCAUCACAGUUGGGAUAUUAUACUAUUAGAAUUCAAAGCAGUAGUUGUAAAUUCAGGUUUAGGCUGUGAUUUUUAUUAUUACUAUUUAAUUUGUUUUAUUUCUUUUGUGUUCUUUCAUUGGGAUUUCUCUUUUGAUGGAUUUUUGUUUCCACCACCACUUCGAGAUACUGUUCUUGUAUUUCUAUUCUAGGUUUUCACCCACUUCACUUACACAUUAUAUCUAUAGUAUAUGUUGAUAUUCUAUAUUUUCAGUACCGAAAAUCGUUAAACUUUUAUUAAUUAGAUCUGGACCCACAUUUACAAUGUUCAAAGUAAGAAGGAAUUCGCUUCGUUGAUCUACCAAAUUUACUCUGACGCCCUUUUAGUGCACCUUUUGUUUUGACUUUCUCCCUUGGUGGACAUAAAGAUGUGUUAUCUGGAUAGGCAAUCUCACGUAAUUUGGCUUUGAUGUUAAUCUUACCAGCCAUGUCAACCUCCUUGAAACGAUUCAUGAUGACAGCCCACUCUUGUUGGAUGGACAACUCUGCUGAAGUAUCAUCACUUGAAAUAUCUAAAAAGCUUAAUCGUGUCCAAAUGAGAUGCACUGACUGCAAUGGUAUGCUACCCACACCAAAGGAAGCCAGUUCACAAGCACAAGGAAGGCCAUGAGUAGAUCUAAUGGUGCACCCACAACGAGAUUUAUCUAAACCAACAUAUUGAACUCNNN